CUAGAUCCAUGAAAACUUGAGCAAAGUUGAUGUAAUCUUCUUUUUCCAUUCUUUUGAUAUGGAGGGCUUGAUAUGUUGUCUUCAUCAAAAUCUUGUAGGAAGCUUCUCUUCACAUUCUCCCCCUUUUUGAUGACGACAACCAAUAUUGAAGCUUGAACUCAUACUCCUCCUAUCUCUUGAAAGUAAUCAAAUGAAAAACUCCCCCUGCAUAAAAUAACACAAGCAAAACACACAUGCAUACACCUUCUCCCCUUUGUCAUGAUCAAAA
This 268-nucleotide long non-coding RNA is filed under the name Lathyrus oleraceus (garden pea). RNAcentral describes it as "Pisum sativum (pea) long non-coding RNA (PSAT_LNC002809)". Lineage: Eukaryota; Viridiplantae; Streptophyta; Magnoliopsida; Fabales; Fabaceae. The record is from RNAcentral.